Long non-coding RNA from Salvia splendens (bonfire salvia), 317 nucleotides. RefSeq lists it as uncharacterized. The record is from RefSeq and is a predicted model, not a curated record. Lineage: Eukaryota; Viridiplantae; Streptophyta; Magnoliopsida; Lamiales; Lamiaceae. The transcript has 3 exons.
UUUUUACUUGUCAAACAAUGCGAAAGAACAGGGAAAGAAUACUCCAUAGAGAAGAAAAUUUCCAAGCUCCCGUUCAAUCCAUUUCGCAAACUGUUCGGUGAAAUUGAAUUCUAACGGAGUAUUCGCCGAUAACUUGAGUUUGGAUCUAUUUUUCUCUAAAACCCAAUUGCAGAGCAAAUUUUGUUGCACUCGUCGACCGCGGCUGGGUGUGGAGCACAUGUACUGGCUCGAGAGGCGAUCUUUGUACUGAAGUGUGAAAGGAUUUGAGGGUUCAUGGAGGACUGAGUUGGAAAUAAGUGAAACGCCUAAGGGUAAAG